GAUGAAGAACGCAGCGAAAUGCGAUAAGUAGUGUGAAUUGCAGAAUUCAGUGAAUCAUCGAAUCUUUGAACGCACAUUGCGCCCGCCAGUAUUCUGGCGGGCAUGCCUGUUCGAGCGUCAUUUCAACCAUCAAGCCCCCGGCUUGUGUUGGGGACCUGCGGCUGCCGCAGGCCCUGAAAACCAGUGGCGGGCUCGCUAGUCACUCCGAGCGUAGUAAUACAUCUCGCUCAGGGCGUGCUGCGGGUUCCGGCCGUUAAAAAGCCUUAUUUACCCAAGGUUGACCUCGGAUCAGGUAGGAAGACCCGCUGAACUUAAGCAUAUCAUAAGCGGAGGA
This 334-nucleotide unclassified non-coding RNA is filed under the name soil metagenome. RNAcentral describes it as "partial contains 5.8S ribosomal RNA, internal transcribed spacer 2, and large subunit ribosomal RNA". The stretch from base 1 to 120 matches the Rfam family "5.8S ribosomal RNA", at positions 35 to 154 of the family's 154-position model. The record is from RNAcentral.